AUUGAACGCUGGCGGCAUGCUUUACACAUGCAAGUCGAACGGCAGCGCGGGGCAACCUGGCGGCGAGUGGCGAACGGGUGAGUAAUAUAUCGGAACGUACCCAGAAGUGGGGGAUAACGUAGCGAAAGUUACGCUAAUACCGCAUACGAUCUACGGAUGAAAGUAGGGGACCGCAAGGCCUUAUGCUUUUGGAGCGGCCGAUAUCUGAUUAGCUAGUUGGUGAGGUAAAGGCUCACCAAGGCGACGAUCAGUAGCUGGUCUGAGAGGACGACCAGCCACACUGGAACUGAGACACGGUCCAGACUCCUACGGGAGGCAGCAGUGGGGAAUUUUGGACAAUGGGCGCAAGCCUGAUCCAGCAAUGCCGCGUGGGUGAAGAAGGCCUUCGGGUUGUAAAGCUCUUUUGUCAGGGAAGAAACGGUAGAGGCUAAUAUCCUUUGCUAAUGACGGUACCUGAAGAAUAAGCACCGGCUAACUACGUG
Molecule: ribosomal RNA, 482 nt
Filed under: uncultured bacterium
Lineage: Bacteria
Description: partial 16S ribosomal RNA
Rfam family: Bacterial small subunit ribosomal RNA
Source: RNAcentral